RNAcentral lists this transfer RNA (72 nucleotides) under Dendronephthya gigantea. RNAcentral describes it as "tRNA-Leu". It matches the Rfam family "tRNA". Rfam says of the family: Transfer RNA (tRNA) molecules are approximately 80 nucleotides in length. Their secondary structure includes four short double-helical elements and three loops (D, anti-codon, and T loops). Further hydrogen bonds mediate the characteristic L-shaped molecular structure. tRNAs have two regions of fundamental functional importance: the anti-codon, which is responsible for specific mRNA codon recognition, and the 3' end, to which the tRNAs corresponding amino acid is attached (by aminoacyl-tRNA synthetases). tRNAs cope with the degeneracy of the genetic code in two manners: having more than one tRNA (with a specific anti-codon) for a particular amino acid; and 'wobble' base-pairing, i.e. permitting non-standard base-pairing at the 3rd anti-codon position. The record is from RNAcentral. Lineage: Eukaryota; Metazoa; Cnidaria; Anthozoa; Malacalcyonacea; Nephtheidae.
GGCUUGCUGGUCUAGUGGUAUGAUUCUCGCUUAAGGUUCGAGAGAUCACGGGUUCGAUUCCCGUGCAAGCCC